AAUUAUGCAAUUCCUGCAGGAUAAGAUAACUCAUCAUAUUUACCUUAUCAUGGAUUAAAUUCAGAGGAAUUUGCAUGAUAAAGAUAAAAAAUACAUGAAGAAGCAGAGUCAUAAUGCGUGUGAGAUAGAAUGUCUCGUCUAGCCGUCUUUUCAUAUUGUUCUUCCAGAUUUGCAUGUCAACAAGCAUAUGAAUUUCGACUACUUGCAGGAAGUAAUUUCUUGACACUAAAAAUUGGUGAAAUAAUCCUCACAUAAUUA
Molecule: unclassified non-coding RNA, 258 nt
Filed under: Hevea brasiliensis (rubber tree)
Lineage: Eukaryota; Viridiplantae; Streptophyta; Magnoliopsida; Malpighiales; Euphorbiaceae
Source: RNAcentral